UCCCCCGGCCCGGCCCGGCCCCUCCUCAGCCGCCGGCGCUGUCCGGGCCCGCUCUCUGGGCUCCAGCCCGGCCCCGCUCUCUGGGCUCCAGCCCCGCUCUCUGGGCUCCAGCCCGGCCCCGCUGACCCCGGCCAUGACCCCGUCCAGCCGCCACCAGGGCUCCUGGCUCCCUGCCGUGCCCGCCUGGCCCCGCUGCUUCCCGGCAGCGCCGGCCUCGCACACGGGCACAUGGCGGCCCUGCGCACCCUCCUGCUCCUCGGGCUGCUCCUUACGGCGCGGGGGCAGAGGGCGGCGCAGAGACGGCGGCCGCCUCCUCCCCAGACUGCGCUCGAAAAAGUGAAGGCUGAAGAGGGGCUCAGCCUUCACCAGCUCUCAGGGAAGUGGUUCCUGGUUGGCAUGGCCUCCCAAUGCAGCUACCUGGCAGAGCACAGCCACCAGCUGGAGGCCACGACAGUGACAAUGACCAUCCUGGAUGGGCAGAGCCUGGCCAUCAGCACCUUCAGGAAGCUGGACAGGAUGUGCUGGGAAAUCAGGCAGCACUACCUUCCCGGCCAGGCCCCUGGACACUUCCUGCUGAAGGGCCAUAGGAAAAGCAGCAAAGUGGAUGUGGUGGUGGGUGAGGCUGAUCCCAGCAGCUUCAUCAUCCUCUAUUACCAGAAGGGCCGCAGCAUCUCUGUUAAGCUCUAUGGACGGAGCAGCCCGGUCAGUGACGCCAUCAUGGACAAGUUCGAGCAGCGCGUCAGGGCUGUGGGUCUGAGUGAGGAUGUCACCUACUACUUCCCCACCUAUGGAUUUUGUGACUCUGCAGAUGAGUUUCACGUCCUUGAUGGUGAGUUGGGGAUGCUGGGUGAUGUGCUGGGUGCCCCUAUGUGCCAGGCUUGGUCCCACACUGGGCACCAGUUGGGUGUCCCUGUCCUGGCACUGGGCUGGGCACACUGGGCCAGAUCCAUGCUGCACCGUGGCUGUGUGGUCCUGCCCCAGGGAUGUGGGAGGGCUGGGCUGGCACGGGAAAGGCCUUGCCAGACCAUUCCCGGAACAGAGCCUGUGCCCUUGUGUGGCAAGCCAUCACUCAGGAUGGGCAUCAGGUACAUUGUGGCAAAGCAAACCCCACUCACCCCCCACAUGGGUCAGACUGGGCUUGAUGGAUCUAUAUUGGUGUUUCCUGGGGUGAGGGCUGAUCUAGGAUGAGAUGUCCUGGCACAGGGACAUCCUGGGGUGAAGGCUGAGGUCCCUGGGGACAGCUCCAUCACUUGUUAUUGGUGCUUGUGAAGGCAGAGAAACAAAGCUGUAGGUGCA
Pyrgilauda ruficollis (rufous-necked snowfinch) is the source of this 1296-nucleotide RNA transcript. It is a transcript of the gene named complement C8 gamma chain, with no coding region annotated. The transcript has 7 exons. The record is from RefSeq and is a predicted model, not a curated record. Lineage: Eukaryota; Metazoa; Chordata; Aves; Passeriformes; Passeridae.